AAAAAAAUGAACAAAA
Molecule: small RNA, 16 nt
Filed under: Arabidopsis thaliana (thale cress)
Lineage: Eukaryota; Viridiplantae; Streptophyta; Magnoliopsida; Brassicales; Brassicaceae
Description: ATSL295980
Source: RNAcentral